Gorilla gorilla gorilla (western lowland gorilla) is the source of this 61-nucleotide small nuclear RNA. Its record names the gene U7. It matches the Rfam family "U7 small nuclear RNA". Rfam says of the family: Animal histone pre-mRNAs are spliced by a different mechanism than nuclear pre-mRNAs and self-splicing introns. This processing involves the U7 snRNP, which contains only one RNA species: U7. Lineage: Eukaryota; Metazoa; Chordata; Mammalia; Primates; Hominidae. The record is from Ensembl.
UAGUGUUAUAGCUCUAAGAAUUUGUCUACCAGGUUUUCUGGUUGUGGCUGGAAACACCCCC